CCUACGGGCGGCUGCAGUGGGGAAUAUUGGACAAUGGGCGAAAGCCUGAUCCAGCCAUGCCGCGUGUGUGAAGAAGGCCUUCGGGUUGUAAAGCACUUUCAGUGGGGAAGAAAGCCUUGGGGCUAAUACCCUCGAGGAAGGACAUCACCCACAGAAGAAGCACCGGCUAACUCCGUGCCAGCAGCCGCGGUAAUACGGAGGGUGCGAGCGUUAAUCGGGAUUACUGGGCGUAAAGCGCGCGUAGGCGGUCUGAUAAGCCGGUUGUGAAAGCCCCGGGCUCAACCUGGGAACGGCAUCCGGAACUGUCAGGCUAGAGUGCAGGAGAGGAAGGUAGAAUUCCCGGUGUAGCGGUGAAAUGCGUAGAGAUCGGGAGGAAUACCAGUGGCGAAGGCGGCCUUCUGGACUGACACUGACGCUGAGGUGCGAAAGCGUGGGUAGCAAACAGGAUUAGAUACCCCAGUAGUC
Molecule: ribosomal RNA, 465 nt
Filed under: Vreelandella stevensii
Lineage: Bacteria; Pseudomonadati; Pseudomonadota; Gammaproteobacteria; Oceanospirillales; Halomonadaceae
Description: partial 16S ribosomal RNA
Rfam family: Bacterial small subunit ribosomal RNA
Source: RNAcentral